This 73-nucleotide transfer RNA is filed under the name Gracilaria chouae. Its description in RNAcentral is "tRNA-Glu". It matches the Rfam family "tRNA". Rfam says of the family: Transfer RNA (tRNA) molecules are approximately 80 nucleotides in length. Lineage: Eukaryota; Rhodophyta; Florideophyceae; Gracilariales; Gracilariaceae. The record is from RNAcentral.
GCUCCUAUCGUUUAAGGGUAAAAGACAAUGCUUUUUCGUGGCAUAAAUGUGGGUUCAAAUCCCACUGGGAGUA